UGAGAUAGCUCAGUCAGUAGGGCAUGAGACUCUUGAUUUCAGGGCCGUGGCUUCGAGUCCCACAUGGGGCAAAA
Podarcis lilfordi (Lilford's wall lizard) is the source of this 74-nucleotide non-coding RNA. The record is from the annotation of a GenBank genome assembly. NCBI's taxonomy places the organism in Eukaryota, Metazoa, Chordata, Lepidosauria, Squamata, Lacertidae.